UACGAAGGGGGCUAGCGUUGCUCGGAAUCACUGGGCGUAAAGCGCACGUAGGCGGCUUCUUAAGUCAGGGGUGAAAUCCUGGAGCUCAACUCCAGAACUGCCUUUGAUACUGAGGAGCUUGAGUCCGGGAGAGGUGAGUGGAACCGCGAGUGUAGAGGUGAAAUUCGUAGAUAUUCGCAAGAACACCAGUGGCGAAGGCGGCUCACUGGCCCGGUACUGACGCUGAGGUGCGAAAGCGUGGGGAGCAAACAGG
This 253-nucleotide ribosomal RNA is filed under the name uncultured bacterium. RNAcentral describes it as "partial 16S ribosomal RNA". It matches the Rfam family "Bacterial small subunit ribosomal RNA", at positions 524 to 776 of the family's 1533-position model. The record is from RNAcentral.